RNAcentral lists this ribosomal RNA (434 nucleotides) under uncultured bacterium. RNAcentral's name for it is "partial 16S ribosomal RNA". It matches the Rfam family "Bacterial small subunit ribosomal RNA", at positions 341 to 792 of the family's 1533-position model. RNAcentral also lists the same sequence under 1 other name. The record is from RNAcentral.
ACGGGAGGCAGCAGUGGGGAAUAUUGCACAAUGGGGGAAACCCUGAUGCAGCGACGCCGCGUGAGUGAUGAAGUAUUUCGGUAUGUAAAGCUCUAUCAGCAGGGAAGAAAAUGACGGUACCUGACUAAGAAGCACCGGCUAAAUACGUGCCAGCAGCCGCGGUAAUACGUAUGGUGCAAGCGUUAUCCGGAUUUACUGGGUGUAAAGGGAGCGUAGGCGGCAUGGCAAGCCAGAUGUGAAAGCCCGGGGCCCAACCCCGGAACUGCAUUUGGAACUGUCAGGCUAGAGUACCGGAGAGGUAAGCGGAAUUCCUAGUGUAGCGGUGAAAUGCGUAGAUAUUAGGAGGAACACCAGUGGCGAAGGCGGCUUACUGGACGGUAACUGACGCUGAGGCUCGAAAGCGUGGGGAGCAAACAGGAUUAGAUACCCUGGUA